RNAcentral lists this non-coding RNA (183 nucleotides) under Alteromonadaceae bacterium. Its description in RNAcentral is "6S RNA". It matches the Rfam family "6S / SsrS RNA". Rfam says of the family: E. coli 6S RNA was the first non coding RNA to be sequenced, but its function was unknown until recently. It consists of 184 nucleotides that fold into an extended hairpin structure with a large single-stranded internal bulge. The record is from RNAcentral. Lineage: Bacteria; Pseudomonadati; Pseudomonadota; Gammaproteobacteria; Alteromonadales; Alteromonadaceae.
UGUCUCCUGGGAUGUUUGUUUGUUCAGUUACGUCCCGAGCCGAUGCUAACAUCUAAGGGAAUUGAUUCCACUACUAUUGAGCAAGCUUGGCAUGUACCGAGAAGCCUACGGUGGUGAUGAUAUUUCCGCCCUGAACUUUACGGUUCUGGGCACAUCUGAGCGGCGGCAUUUCCCGGGAGACUU